UAGUGAUCUUGCCAAAGUCACAGCUGCUUCUGUAUAGCUGCUGAGGAAAAAAAGAAGAGGCCUGGAGUUUCCUUGACAGGUUCUGAUUUCUGAGACUGAUCUACAGUUUGAAAAAGGACAAUG
This is a non-coding RNA of Mesocricetus auratus (golden hamster), 123 nucleotides long. Lineage: Eukaryota; Metazoa; Chordata; Mammalia; Rodentia; Cricetidae. The record is from Rfam.